GAUGAACGCUGGCGGCGUGCCUAGUACAUGCCAGUAGAACGCUGAAGGAAGGAGCUUGCUCUUUCCGGAUGAGUUGCGAACGGGUGAGUAACGCGUAGGUAACCUGCCUGGUAGCGGGGGAUAACUAUUGGAAACGAUAGCUAAUACCGCAUAACAGUAGAUGUUGCAUGACAACUAUUUGAAAGGGGCAAUUGCUCCACUACCAGAUGGACCUGCGUUGUAUUAGCUAGUUGGUGGGGUAACGGCUCACCAAGGCGACGAUACAUAGCCGACCUGAGAGGGUGAUCGGCCACACUGGGACUGAGACACGGCCCAGACUCCUACGGGAGGCAGCAGUAGGGAAUCUUCGGCAAUGGACGGAAGUCUGACCGAGCAACGCCGCGUGAGUGAAGAAGGUUUUCGGAUCGUAAAGCUCUGUUGUAAGAGAAGAACGAGUGUGAGAGUGGAAAGUUCACACUGUGACGGUAUCUUACCAGAAAGGGACGGCUAACUACGUG
Molecule: ribosomal RNA, 497 nt
Filed under: uncultured bacterium
Lineage: Bacteria
Description: partial 16S ribosomal RNA
Rfam family: Bacterial small subunit ribosomal RNA
Source: RNAcentral